UAGGGAAUCUUCCGCAAUGGACGCAAGUCUGACGGAGCAACGCCGCGUGAGUGAAGAAGGAUUUCGGUUCGUAAAACUCUGUUGUUAGAGAAGAACAGCGCAUAGAGUAACUGUUAUGCGUGUGACGGUAUCUAACCAGAAAGCCACGGCUAACUACGUGCCAGCAGCCGCGGUAAUACGUAGGUGGCAAGCGUUGUCCGGAUUUAUUGGGCGUAAAGCGAGCGCAGGCGGUCAAUUAAGUCUGAUGUGAAAGCCCCCGGAUCAACCGGGGAGGGUCAUUGGCAACUGGUUGACUUGAGUGCAGAAGAGGAGAGUGGAAUUCCAUGUGUAGCGGUGAAAUGCGUAGAUAUAUGGAGGAACACCAGUGGCGAAGGCGACUCUCUGGUCUGUAACUGACGCUGAGGCUAGAAAACGUGGGUAGCAAACAGG
Molecule: ribosomal RNA, 429 nt
Filed under: Bacteroidota bacterium
Lineage: Bacteria; Pseudomonadati; Bacteroidota
Description: Bacteroidetes bacterium partial 16S ribosomal RNA
Rfam family: Bacterial small subunit ribosomal RNA
Source: RNAcentral